RNAcentral lists this ribosomal RNA (557 nucleotides) under uncultured bacterium. RNAcentral's name for it is "bacterial SSU rRNA". It matches the Rfam family "Bacterial small subunit ribosomal RNA", at positions 102 to 694 of the family's 1533-position model. The record is from RNAcentral.
ACGGGUGAGUAACGCGUGGGAAUCUACCCAUCUCUACGGAAUAACGCAUGGAAACGUGUGCUAAUACCGUAUACGUCCUUCGGGAGAAAGAUUUAUCGGAGAUGGAUGAGCCCGCGUUGGAUUAGCUAGUUGGUGGGGUAAAGGCCUACCAAGGCGACAAUCCAUAGCUGGUCUGAGAGGAUGAUCAGCCACACUGGGACUGAGACACGGCCCAGACUCCUACGGGAGGCAGCAGUGGGGAAUAUUGGACAAUGGGCGCAAGCCUGAUCCAGCCAUGCCGCGUGAGUGAUGAAGGCCCUAGGGUUGUAAAGCUCUUUCACCGGUGAAGAUAAUGACGGUAACCGGAGAAGAAGCCCCGGCUAACUUCGUGCCAGCAGCCGCGGUAAUACGAAGGGGGCUAGCGUUGUUCGGAUUUACUGGGCGUAAAGCGCACGUAGGCGGACUAUUAAGUCAGGGGUGAAAUCCCGGGGCUCAACCCCGGAACUGCCUUUGAUACUGGUAGUCUUGAGUUCGAGAGAGGUGAGUGGAAUUCCGAGUGUAGAGGUGAAAUUCGUAGA